This 504-nucleotide long non-coding RNA is filed under the name Pan troglodytes (chimpanzee). RNAcentral describes it as "lncRNA (ENSPTRG00000054011.1)". Lineage: Eukaryota; Metazoa; Chordata; Mammalia; Primates; Hominidae. The record is from RNAcentral.
UACUGAAAAGUAGUAAGGGAUUCCAACUUCGUGAGAGGGAGAGUGGGGCAGAACCAGACCAGACAAGGAGUGGUCACCUGGAAAAAGCCUGCCAUCAAAGGCCUUGACAUGAACUUGCGAAUUCAACAUGUGAAGACCAGCUUCAGGUGUCCCCAAAAAGACCAUGAAGGCCUGAGAGUAAUGAAAAUCUUCCUGAAAUUGAGGUCACUGUGGAAGCCUCAGCUGAGAUGUCUCACCUCACUCUCUAUGAUGCAACGAGAAGCCCCUUGGGAGCGUUUCAGUCCCACUCUAUACUCCUGUCAUUGUGCUCAUCACAGUCUGGUAAGUGUUGACAUACGAUUCCUAUAUUAGUCCAUUUUCCAUUGCUAUAAGGAAACACCUGAGGCUAGGUAGUUUAUAAAGAAAAAAGGUUUAUUUGGCUCACAGUUCUGCAGACUGUACAAGUAGCAUGGUUCCAGGCUGGGCCAUGGCCCACACCUGUAACCCCAGCACUUUGAGAUGCUG